RNAcentral lists this ribosomal RNA (1361 nucleotides) under uncultured bacterium. Its description in RNAcentral is "bacterial SSU rRNA". It matches the Rfam family "Bacterial small subunit ribosomal RNA", at positions 23 to 1399 of the family's 1533-position model. The record is from RNAcentral.
CUCAGGACGAACGCUGGCGGCGCGCCUAACACAUGCAAGUCGAACGAGCGAGAGAGAGCUUUGCCUUCUCGAGCGAGUGGCGAACGGGUGAGUAACGCGUGAGGAACCUGCCUCAAAGAGGGGGACAACAGUUGGAAACGACUGCUAAUACCGCAUAAGCCCACGGCUCGGCAUCGAGCAGAGGGAAAAGGAGCAAUCCGCUUUGAGAUGGCCUCGCGUCCGAUUAGCUAGUUGGUGAGGUAAUGGCCCACCAAGGCGACGAUCGGUAGCCGGACUGAGAGGUUGAACGGCCACAUUGGGACUGAGACACGGCCCAGACUCCUACGGGAGGCAGCAGUGGGGAAUAUUGCACAAUGGGGGAAACCCUGAUGCAGCGACGCCGCGUGGAGGAAGAAGGUCUUCGGAUUGUAAACUCCUGUUGUUGGGGAAGAUAAUGACGGUACCCAACAAGGAAGUGACGGCUAACUACGUGCCAGCAGCCGCGGUAAAACGUAGGUCACAAGCGUUGUCCGGAAUUACUGGGUGUAAAGGGAGCGCAGGCGGGAAGACAAGUUGGAAGUGAAAUCUAUGGGCUCAACCCAUAAACUGCUUUCAAAACUGUUUUUCUUGAGUAGUGCAGAGGUAGGCGGAAUUCCCGGUGUAGCGGUGGAAUGCGUAGAUAUCGGGAGGAACACCAGUGGCGAAGGCGGCCUACUGGGCACCAACUGACGCUGAGGCUCGAAAGUGUGGGUAGCAAACAGGAUUAGAUACCCUGGUAGUCCACACCGUAAACGAUGAUUACUAGGUGUUGGAGGAUUGACCCCUUCAGUGCCGCAGUUAACACAAUAAGUAAUCCACCUGGGGAGUACGACCGCAAGGUUGAAACUCAAAGGAAUUGACGGGGGCCCGCACAAGCAGUGGAGUAUGUGGUUUAAUUCGACGCAACGCGAAGAACCUUACCAAGUCUUGACAUCCCUUGACAGACAUAGAAAUAUGUAAUCUCUUCGGAGCAAGGAGACAGGUGGUGCAUGGUUGUCGUCAGCUCGUGUCGUGAGAUGUUGGGUUAAGUCCCGCAACGAGCGCAACCCCUAUCUUUAGUAGCCAGCGGUUUGGCCGGGCACUCUAGAGAGACUGCCAGGGAUAACCUGGAGGAAGGUGGGGAUGACGUCAAAUCAUCAUGCCCCUUAUGAGCAGGGCUACACACGUGCUACAAUGGCGUAAACAAAGGGAGGCAGAACCGCGAGGUCGAGCAAAUCCCAAAAAUAACGUCUCAGUUCGGAUUGUAGUCUGCAACUCGACUACAUGAAGCUGGAAUCGCUAGUAAUCGCGAAUCAGAAUGUCGCGGUGAAUACGUUCCCGGGUCUUGCACACACCGCCCGUCA